GAGUUUGAUCCUGGCUCAGGAUGAACGCUGGCGGCGUGCUUAACACAUGCAAGUCGAACGAAGCAUUUCUGAUGAAGUUUUCGGAUGGAAUUGGAGAUGACUGAGUGGCGGACGGGUGAGUAACGCGUGGGCAACCUGCCGUAUACAGGGGGACAACAGUUGGAAACGACUGCUAAUACCGCAUAAGCGCACGGUCUCGCAUGGGACAGUGUGAAAAACUCCGGUGGUAUACGAUGGGCCCGCGUCUGAUUAGGUAGUUGGUGAGGUAACGGCCCACCAAGCCGACGAUCAGUAGCCGACCUGAGAGGGUGACCGGCCACAUUGGGACUGAGACACGGCCCAAACUCCUACGGGAGGCAGCAGUGGGGAAUAUUGCACAAUGGGGAAACCCUGAUGCAGCGACGCCGCGUGAGCGAAGAAGUAUUUCGGUAUGUAAAGCUCUAUCAGCAGGGAAGAAAUGACGGUACCUGACUAAGAAGCCCGGCUAACUACGUGCC
Molecule: ribosomal RNA, 497 nt
Filed under: uncultured bacterium
Lineage: Bacteria
Description: bacterial SSU rRNA
Rfam family: Bacterial small subunit ribosomal RNA
Source: RNAcentral